AUGACAGAAUGGUUAUGUGUAGAAAAAAUAUUGUCCUUUGUUUCUAUGUAUACUCUAAAUUGUAUGUCUGAUCUAAACAUGCAGUAUCCUGAACGAACACCGUGGAGGCCUUUUAGUAACAAUUUACGUUAUGUUGUUGUUAUGGCGCUGCUAGAAGGAGGGCGCGAGAGGGCCGGCCGGGGGCCUUUUUUGCCCAUGGCCGGGCAAGAGGGAAGGGAUUUCCUUCUUAAUUCUUGCUUGAUUAGAUUGAUACAUCUCCUCUCUUUAUAUAGAGAGGUUUACUUGACUUCCAAGCAAGCGACCCUUAUCUCUAAUUAA
This 318-nucleotide ribosomal RNA is filed under the name Triticum aestivum (bread wheat). Its description in RNAcentral is "partial small subunit ribosomal RNA". Lineage: Eukaryota; Viridiplantae; Streptophyta; Magnoliopsida; Poales; Poaceae. The record is from RNAcentral.